Molecule: ribosomal RNA, 301 nt
Filed under: uncultured bacterium
Lineage: Bacteria
Description: partial 16S ribosomal RNA
Rfam family: Bacterial small subunit ribosomal RNA
Source: RNAcentral
CAGCAGCCGCGGGAAUACAGAGGGUGCGAGCGUUAAUCGGAUUUACUGGGCGUAAAGCGUGCGUAGGCGGCUUCUUAAGUCGGAUGUGAAAUCCCUGAGCUUAACUUAGGAAUUGCAUUCGAUACUGGGAAGCUAGAGUAUGGGAGAGGAUGGUAGAAUUCCAGGUGUAGCGGUGAAAUGCGUAGAGAUCUGGAGGAAUACCGAUGGCGAAGGCAGCCAUCUGGCCUAAUACUGACGCUGAGGUACGAAAGCAUGGGGAGCAAACAGGAUUAGAUACCCCUGUAGUCCCUGUCUCAUAUAC